Molecule: long non-coding RNA, 17357 nt
Filed under: Mytilus galloprovincialis (Mediterranean mussel)
Lineage: Eukaryota; Metazoa; Mollusca; Bivalvia; Mytilida; Mytilidae
Source: RNAcentral
UAGAUUUUUUAUCCUAAGCCUUUUAGUAGUAGCCAAUUUGUCAAAUAUUGAUUUUACCCUCUGAAGGCCCCAGCAGGAACGAGAUUGCUGCUAUUUUUUAUAUUGUGUCAAUCAACUCUUUAAACACGCCUACUGGACAAUAUUAACACGCCUUGUUUAUUCUUGUAUACUGGGAAUUUUAGAAUUGAUUGUUAAGUGGGAGGGGCUUCAUUGUCAACAUUGAGAGUUAAGAUAACACUGAGAGAAUGUGUUAGCAUCAAGCCACAUGUGUGACUAUUGCCAUUAUAGAUAGAAGAAAUAUUUAAGAAAAAAAGUGGAAAAAUAAGAUUGUUUUUUUUUUAAUUUUACAUUCUUAAAUAUUUGGUGUAGAAAGUAACUCGUAAUAAUAUUCUAUUUUUGCUUUUAGGAGAACAGGAUUUUGUGAAUGGACUUUUACGAAUAUUGAUAUUUGAGGAUUAAUUUAACAAAAGUGUUUAUAAUUUGCAGUAUAUUCUGUUUUCUAUUUUGAAAUUGGAAUACCAUGCACUGAGAAAUAGAAGAAAUAUUGGAUUAUUUAAAUAGAUCUUUAUAGAGAUAACAGGAUAUUUUAUGGUUAUCGCACUGGACAUUUUAUUAUUGUCAGGUAAGAUGAUCUUUUAUCAAUAUUUUUGCCAUAAACCAAUUAAUACAAAUUGUAUUUUCUCAUUAAGUAAUGCAAUUAAACAUGAAGACAAAAGUUAUUGAUUGUAAACGUUGAUGGAUUUUUUAUCUUGUUUUAUUGGUGGAUUGGAGGAGGAUUAACAUGCACCUGGACAUCUGUAUUUUUUUCUGGCCAUUACAAUGGGAUGUUGAUGUAUCUCUUGGGUCAUCAGGGAAUUGAUGGAUUCUUUGUUGAUAUGAAUCAGCCUGCCAUUUUUGCCGUCCUGGACAUUGCUCAAAGUAAAUUGAUUUGGUGGUUGUUUAAGCUAAUAUUUUGCAUCUAGAGUUUAUGAUUAAAAAUGAUUCCAAUAAGUUAGUUUGGGAUGUUUAACAUCCUACAUGAUACUUUAUGCUGUAAGUCAGACAGGAUUUUAUUCAAACAACAUGCUUCUAAUGAAAUACUAAUAUCAAACCAACUAAGUAUGUACAAAAAAUGGAAAAUGGAAAUCAGAAUAAAAAAUACCAGUUAGCUAUAAAACUUUUUACUGCUAAAUGUAUAGAAUUGAGAUGCGAUUACAAAUUAGAAAAAACAUAUCUGAGGUUAAACCAAGGUUCGAGGUGUAGUCAGUUAUUUUAUCUGUGUUGAAAUAUGAUAAAUCCGUGCAAACAUUUAAUUUGAUAAAACAAUAUUUCUUAUCACACUUGUCUGUUAAAAUAAAUAAUUUACCAAAUUUAUUAUUGUAUUGUUUUAAAGAAGCGUCUCCACUUCAGUAUUUCCAAUAUGAUAUAUGGAUAUAAUUUGGAGUGGAUAAAGCAGCAAUAUUUAUUUUUUAUGAAAAUAUCUGUCAUAUUUGAUUGUAAAUCCCUAGAUAACAAUUAGGCUGGCUAACAGUCAGAACAGUUACACAGUAAUGUGUGGUGAUAUUAUAGUCAUUCAAUCUAGGCUAUUUCAAAUCUCAGUUUGACAUUUUACAGAACUGACAAUGUGGUUCAGUGGUAUUCUAAUCUUUUUAACUGUUUUUGACUGAAUUUCAAAUUAGGUUUUGGUAUGACAAAAAUAAAUGACAGUUAUGAAAUGUUUUAUUGAGGCCAUGUGGUUGGAUGGUUAUUGUGGAAGAUUAACCUUCUUUUAGAAUUCUCCUUUUGAUUCACAACUGUGUGCUUGUAUGGAAGUUGCUAUAUUUAAUGGAUUCGUAUUCAUAGUGAAGAAACAUCCCAUAGGGGCUUUCAAUAGUAAUUUCAUUAGUUUUUACAAAAAAAUCAAAGCAUGACAGCAGUAUAAUUCUUUCUAAAGUGCAUCUUCUCAGCUUGUGAUUUAUAUUUGGUCCAGUGGUACAUCAAUACAAAAUCCUAUUUAAAAUUGUUGUCACACAAUUUAAUUACGACUCAACCAGACUCUUAAUAAAAGUAUCUCAAAAGAGGAUAUGAUUAUGCAAAUGUAACAUCAAAAGAAUUUGUAAUUAGGUUUUCAUAAAUAUUCCCUUAUUAAAAGGUUACUCAAUAUCCAUACCCAGUCAAGUUAUGAAUAAAAUUACUGCUAUCAUUUAUUAAUGAUUUGAUGUGAUAAGUGACCAUUGUCCGAAUGGCCAGCUGGUGUGGACAUAUGGAACCACAUUAACUCCCUGUCCCUGGAGUGAUGUCCAGUGUACAUUAGCAGUGGUUAUUAUAUCAUCAAUGACAGAAAGUCAACUUAAAUCUCCUUAAUAUAAACAUCAAUAGGAGGCUUGUUCACUUAAACAAUUGAAAUUUUUAGUGAAAUCACAUUUAAAGCUGAUCAGUUAAUUGAAACUUUGUAAUGCUGCCUGCUGUACAUGUAAAGAUAUACAUGUACAAUGUAUGAACUUUUGUAUCUAUAUAUACUUGUACAUUAAUUCAUACAUGCUUAUAAAUAUUCUGUAUUCAUGCAUUUGAAUAAUAUUCAAUCGAUGAGAAAUAAACUUUUAAAAAAAAUGACAAUAGUAAAAACAAAUACAUUUGUCAAAAUAUAUAAUAGUUCUCAGUAUAAUAUUCAAAUAUGUAACAAAAAAAACCCAUCUGAACAUAGUUAAAUUGAUUUUCUUAGAGCUUCAUUUCAAAUUGAUUAAACAACUGUUAGACUAUAAUUAUUCUUUUUAGAUCUUUCAUCUUUAAAUUAAUAUAUAUCAAAAAUAUUUUUUUUGUAUAAUAAGUAAUUCAUUUCUUAUACAAACAUAAAUUUUUUUCUGCAUCAACAAAUAUUACAAAUUCUAUUUCAGCCAUUAACAUGAUUAAUAUACAAAUGUAGGUGAAUUUAAUAGUGUAUAGAAAUUUAUUUAAAAUAAAAAAUUGGAUAAAUAUUGAACUUUUCCAUCAUAUUAUAGAUUAGGACAGAGUUGUUUGUUCAAAGAUCAAUUUUGAUUCUAUAGUUUGUGUAUAUAAGGGAUUUCAACAUAACCUUACAGCCUGGCACUACAGGGUAACAGUCGGAAAUACAGGAUGGAAUUACUUCAAAAUGUUUAUUUUCUGGAUUAUAUAUAAAUAUGGGAUGCAGGGAAUUUUAGAGAAGUAGUUAGGAGGGAUAUAGGAUUUUAUUAAUUGAAAAAAAAUAUUGACAACCAGAAUUUUGUGUAAAAAUGAUAACAGUGUUAGGGAGGGGUAAGAGGGUCAAUAGGAAGUAGUCACUUAAAGAUGUUGAUAUUUUAGAUUUUAAACUUAAUAAUUGUACUUGAAUUAAUCUUGAAGUAGCAUUAUACAGAUGCCAUUUUGAAAAACUGAAUGAAGACAGUAUGAUGACAGCAAUCAGCAAAUACGUGUGUGCUGUGUAGUAAUUUUGACCAUCAGAUGCAAGUUUUGGGUAAAUAAUAAUUUUCAUAAAAUCAGGAUUUAAAACCAUAGAAUUAUAGUGUUAAAAUGAAAAAAAAAAUCAAAAAUCUGAUGUAUUGCACAAUAAUUAUUAUGUAAGGCUGUAAUUGGUGAAAUCAUUUAUGCUGCUUUGACAUACAGUCUAAUCAGUAUUGUCUGUACAUAGAUUUUUACAUGUUAAGCCAAGGAUUUGGUUUAGUCCAUAUUUGUUUUGUUUUAUAAGUUGUUGGCAUUCUGAUGUCUUGUCAUAUUACAAACAAAACAAUUUUCAAUAUGAAGUUUUACACAAUGUUAUACUGUUCCCCCAGUUUCCAUGUACGAUUUUUACACCCUGUCUUAAUAUUCCCCAAGUUUCCUGUAAGUUUUAGCGGGUUUUUGCCAAGUUUACAUAUUUUUACAGCAAAGCUUUCAUAAAGUUAUUGAGAAUCAUGUCUAAAUAGGUGUUUUUACAGCGGGGUUAUAGAUUAUCUCGGCAUGAAUCUUAAAGGGUUCUGGUUCUAAUGACAUCUUAAACGAUUACAUCUGGGGUUCCGUAAACAGGAAUUUCAUAACAAUAAAUUGAGAACAGGAUGUAAUUUGUUUUUCUCUGUUGUGUGAACCUGCAUUGCAAGGUUAAUGUGCAUUGUUUGUAAUAAAGUGUGCACCAAUUCUUUCCUGGAGUUAGAUAGAAAUAGAAACAAUUAAAGUGAUAAGUGCUUGGAUUAAUUCGUCUAAUGUAGAUGUCUAAUUUCAUUUUGUCAAGUUAAGCUUGGAAUUGUAAUUGUGUAAUGCUAUUUUCUCCAAAAAACAUAUUUUAACGAGUAAUGAUUCAUUGUAAAGAUAGAACCAUCUUCAUAGCAUACCAAACAAGAAACAUUUUGAGAAAAAAUUACCAUUUCAAAAUACAAAUUAUUUUUAAAUUAAUUGUUCACAUUUGGAGUUCGUAUAUUCAAAAGCGUAAAUCUUGGAUUAAAGGAAUUCAAAUGUAUCUGUAGCUGGACAGUGGUACUAGGUAAUCCAGUUGCUUUUGAAUUGUUUUGUUGCAGUUUUCAUGCACAAUGUAUAUACAAAUGUAUUGUCCUCUGAACUCUUUGACUUUCUGAUUCGAUCAAAGACAGUUCCAUAUCAAGCAUGGUACACUGUAUCUUAUACAAAUGUACUUGCCAUUGAUGUGUGAAAUGUAUGAUGUGGCAGUUUUUUUUAAGGCCCUUUUUGGUUUUGAUGCUUUUGAGUAUUUUAUAUACAUGUAUUGGUACUUUGCUUUUCAAAUUCUUGGUCUCCUUCAUUCUUAUUUAAUGUUUUAUUCAGAAAACAUUUAUGAUCACUUCAAUCAGGAUUCAGUUCAUUAUUAUCUGCAGGAAGUGUAAAAACAAUGAGUAAAACAAAAACAAAGUCGGAUUAACCACAAUUAUCAAAAAAAGCAAGUUGCGUAUAAAGAGGGAUAACUCUAUCGAUAUUCUUGGCAUUACACUCCCCGUCUGAUAUGAAUAUAUCACUAAUAAAAUUUAACAAUACUUCAAAAAUCAAAAAGUUUGUCCAAGUACACAAUAAAAAAUGUUCUCAUUCUAUAAAGUUCACAAAUUAUUUACACAUAACAAAUACUACUUCAUUAGCAGGUCUAGUGAAUAACUUCCUGUUCUUCCCGAGACGCACUUGAACUUCACGGACGCGACCAUCAGAGCUUGCAUAUGUUUGUUCAAUAACACCAAUAGGCCAGUCAUUACGGUGCAAGCUAACAUCACGCAUAAGAACAAUGUCACCUUCAGUUAAGUUUCUGCACUCUUGUUUCCAUUUGUUUUGUAUGCCAUAACCAUUUAAUGUAAAUGUGUUUGUGCGAAUAAAAUAUUGUCUAAAAUAUUGUCUAUUGUCUAUUUUUAAUUAUAACUCAUUUUGAAUGGAAGUCAAAGAACUCAAGCCGUGACAUUCUAUUGUGUUUUCCCAGCAUAUAUAUCAUUGCACAUCUGCUAGUUGUGUUCUAGUAUCUGCUUUGAGGGUCAAAAGGGCAGUAGAUUAUUUGCAUGUAAUGUGUAAGCAAUUAGACAAGAGAAAGGAUUUUAUAUGAAAUCAGAUGGUAUGUAGGGGACAGUGUAAUGGUUUGGUGAUUGUUUGUGACAUACUCAUUUGUUUUCCCAAUCAUACAUCUCACAACAGUUAGGAAGAGAUAUUCAUAAUACAUCCAUAUUGUUAAGGGACUAUAAAACAUCUAUUUUGUUUAGAGACUAUAAAACAUCUAUAUUGUUUAGAGACUAUAAAACAUCUAUUUUGUUUAGAGACUAUAAAACAUCUAUAUUGUUUAGAGACUAUAUACUUAAUUUUUGUUCUCAAUGAUCAUGAUGAUACAUCACAUAAUAGUUAUGAAGAGAUAUUCAUAGUACAUCUAUAUUGUUUAGAGACUAUAUACUUAUCUUCUGUCUCAUCAGAUACAUAUAUAUAUUGUUUAGAGACUAUAUAGUUAACUUCUUUCUUGUCAGACAAAUCAUUUUCAUGUUUGAUCCUUAAGGAUGUAAAAAGAUAUAAUGCAAUUUUUACGUGGACAUUUAUUGCUUUCUCUUUUUGCACAGAUGUACAGUAUUAAUGUAAAUGUAUAUAUAUUGAAUAGUCAUAGAAAACGAUACUAAAUUGUUGGCUUGAAAACAGUACAGAAAAGAAGUUGAAGUCAGCACUCUUCACAUGAAACAUACCUUUUGCUCUUUUGAUCUUUAAGUGCUUUCAUAUUCUACAUUUUUUGUCUAUUUUGAUUUUUUCUAAGAUGUAUGUUUUUUCUCAGUUUUGAAUAAAGGUACUCAGGUUUGCCCUCUUAAAUCUUGGCUUAGAAUUGAAUUGUAGUGAAAACUGGAUGUUUAAUUUAAUUAACAGGGCUUGAAAUGUUUUAUUUCAUACUAACAUGUAUCUUGUGAUUAAAUCAUCACUUUUAUUUCUAAAAUAUCAUAAACCAUCAUAUUUGAUAUGUUUAAACAAUUGUUUGUUGAAAGUAUCAACUAUUUGAGCUUGUCUAGAUCAAGAUUAUCUGUGUAGGAAAUGUUUCAGGGUGACCAGGCUUUUAUUAAGGAUUUAGCUACAUUUGAUAGUGCAGGGGUGAAAGUAAUUAAGAUGUAAACAAUGUGUCCAUUAUGUCAUGUGACAUGAAGACUGCCAAAGGUGUAAGGCAACCCGGGACCACAUGGGGAGGAAUGUAAUGUAAACAUUGUAUACAUGUUUUCUCCUGCUUUUGUGUAUUUACAAGUGAGUGAAGUCAGUUUAUAAACUAUUUUCCUGUUGUUACGAAGCUUUUUGUUACAGGGUACAUUGUUGACCAUGAAGUGGGGGUUUCUCUGUGGGAGAUGGGCUCCACUUUUCUUUUCUGUAGGGUAACUUGAUUUAAUUUAUGCAGUUUGUACUGGUAUUGUUGUUAGAUUUCUGUCACUUGAUAUCCUUGAUUCAUAUGUGUAUUUAGAAUAUGGACAAGAAUCGUUUUUCACUGGUCUAUUCUUUCUGUAAUUUAUGAGGUUUAACACCAUUAAGAUUCUGUCUGUAUUGAAACUAGAUAGAUGCAUUUCUUGUCAAUUUUGUAAUAUAACUGAAUUGGAUCAUUGUAAUAGUAUCUUCACAUCAUGUACAUUGUACCGGUACAUUUCAUGCCAACACUGAUUUUAUCCUGUAAUAUAUCUAGAAAAGGUCCUAUAACAUACCUGGUAAUGGCCUAAUACAUACUUGCAUGUAUAGUUUUAUUUUUAAAAUGUUUAAUGGAGUUAAUUGUACAGUUGAUGCAAUCAAACUCGCUUUAGAAAUUACUAGCUAAUAGAUUAAGCAAGUACAUGCAUUGUAAGGCAUUUCAUUUUGCAGCUUAUAUCAUAAAGUCUAUAUGAUUUAAGGCCUAAAAUAAAAUAUUGUUUGUUUUACCCAAUCCCGACAGACCCUGCAAAAACAGACCCUGCAAAAAUGAUGCUACUCAUAAAUUUUAUUGUCACAGCUAAGUCAAAUAUUAUUUUAUUCAUUUCCAAUUUUUCAUGUUUGCCCGAUUGACUGUUAUUGUUUCAGCUAUUUGGAAAAAAUAAAAAUAUUUCCCUACCUACCUACCCACACCUGGCUUGGGAGGGUCGGGAUUGGGGAAACAAACAAUUUAUUAAUUUAGGCCUAAGCGACCAAACAAAAAAGAAGAGAACAAAAAGUCAACAAAACAGUUCACUGAAGGCUACCGAUAAACAUUCAGAACAAUGCUGUUCCCAUUUAAAACUGGACAUGUACUCAUGAAUUUUGAACGAGUCAGUCAUUCCUGCUCCAAUUCAUAGUGAUGUAAAUAAGACAAAACAUGAGUUAAUCACUAUUACUCUAUGAGAAUAUAUAAUGGUAUUAUUAAACAUAUAUUGAUGUACAUGUAGACAAAUGAAAAUGUUAUCUUUAGUUAAAUGCAUCUGUUGAACAAUUGUUAGAAUUUUUAGUUUUAUUCAGAAAUCAUGUAAAGUAAGAGCCAUCAAUCUUGAUUUUAUGUAUGUCUAUAGAGAAUUUGAACAUUGUGCAGUCAUUACAUUUACAACUGAUAUUGCAUUUGACAUACAGAAAGAAAUGAUAUACAGAAGUGCAAUAAUGGAUGCAAUUAACGUAAAAAGAUUUAUUGGAUAAAAGUCUUGAAGCACUGAAGCCCAACAGUAAGAUGUAUCCAAACAUGAACAGAGUUGCCCUUUUGUUUGGUUGGGAGGAUUGAAGAAAGAUUGCAAAAGGGAACAGAUUGUUACUACAUUGCAUAUCAAAUAAGCAAAUGAUAGGUCAGCAUGAACAGAUAUUGUCAGCCAUUAUCCAUCCUACAUUUGUACAGGUAUUGAAAUUGUCCAGCUACUGUAGCAAAGAAAGGCAUUUACAAUCUUAGUAUUCUACCCACUUAUAGUUGUAUAUUUUCAAUUUGCUUUGUUUUUUAUCCACUAAUAUUUUAGCCUGUAAUUUUCCUUUUAAGAGUUUUCUUCAUGUUUUACUUGUGUUUUAUUGCCGAAAUCUUAAGACCACAUCCUUUCUUAUAACAUGAACAUAUUGACUAAACAAUUCUGCCUUAAUGUAAAAUGGCUGAAAUAAGAGUUCAAUUAGGUCAUCUAAGUAAACUUUAUGGUGAAAAUUGCAUUAAAAUCGUGGUUGCUUCUUAAUAAAAUAUUUCAGAAUGGCCAUAUUGCAUGUGAAAGAGUCGUAGUCGUCAAUAGAUUCCUUGUUAAAGCUAUCUGAGAUGGUCCUCUGAUAAAGAUCUUUUUCAGAAGAAAACAUCAUUACCUAUCGGCAAUCAAUACCAAAUAAAAAUUGGCAAUUGUAGAUUCUAGUAGGACAGAGAAUUGAAUGCAAGGAAAAUUACAUUGAGGAGAUACAUUUAUCAUUGACAUUUAUCAUUGGGAAAAUAGGAUCUAGUUUGUUUAAUAGUCUCUAUUGGUAUGAAUCAAGAUCGUUUUAUUAGUUUAUAGGUUUUUCAUAUUAAUUUAAGUCAUUCAGCCAUUCAACUUUGUUCCUUUCUUAUAUAAAUUGCUUAUCAGCUACUAGCUCUAUACUUGACAUUCAACCUCUUUUGUUAUGGGAGAUGAAAGGUUAAAAAUAAAUGGAAUUUUUAGUGUAAUGUUUAGAGAAAAUUAGUUUGAAAGUUGGACAUUUACAAUUUUUGUUAUGUGUUAGGAUAAAUGUGUAAAGCUAUAAAUUUUUCGUAAUGUUGGGGAAUAAAAGUGUUUAGCUAUAAAAACUAUUAAGUAGUUAUAAACCCUAUUGUUUACUAUACAAAUCUAUAAAAAGGAAUCUAUAUUCUUGAUAGUUUCUGUGUUAAAUCUCUUAAAAACUUUCAUCUGUUCAUGUAACCGAAUAGACACUGUCAGUUGAAUGCUUUCUUGCAUGUCUUUUGGUUGUUUUUGUCAUACAUACAUAUGGUUGCUGCCUCAUUGAGGUGAACCUCAUAUCUCUAUGUUUUCAUAUAUAUUUCAUUAGUUGUUAGAUUUCAAGCUUGUUUGAAAAUCAAAAGAUAUUAAUAUGUUACAACCCAAUGUGGUAUGUAGAUUUUGAGGUUUCAGAGUAUGGUUUCGCUUUGGGAUUUUUCACCAUGUUUACAUCUUCAGAAUCUUGACUAUUUAUCAGAGGGAAAAGAUUCAUUAGUUUAUUAAUGUGUCCUGUUAAAUCAUUAUAGUAUGUUUUACAACUAGUCUUCUGGGUUUUAAAUUCAUUUUUGUUCCCUGAUUAAUAAAACAAACUUUAUAUUAAAAACCAUCCUUGAAGCAUACUAAAUUUCAUGUAAUAACAAGAAUUUGAUGAGCAAAAUAUCUGGAGAAAAGUGAGAAGUUUCUGACCUUGGGUGAGGCACGUUUCUCUUGGUGAAAAAAAAAAGUAUUUUUUUAAGUGUGUUCCUUGAAUUUAUUUCUCAAGCUGUUGAAAUAAGUCUGUAAACUUAAACACUGUGGUAAACUAAAUCUGUUCUUAUAGGAAAAUGUAAAAUAUGAACAUGAACAUGAAUGAAAAGUGGGAGGUGGUUGAACCCAACUAAUUCAGUCCCUCCCCGUUAUCUAUCCCUCCUAGUUCUGAGGUGUAACGUAGUCAACUGAAUUAUUGGGGUGAGAACAGGUUUUGCUCAUAAAAGGAAUAAAAUCCCCCAAAGAAAAACGUCUUUAAAAAAAGAUACUUGUAACUUAAAGUGUUAAAAAAAGAAAUUGGUUACUUAGUGCCUUUCCCCUAAUCUAAAGCAAACAAACAAUCUAUUUAGGUACAUAGCCAUUAUGACAUAAGUUAGUUAAUAUCAUUUGUACAAAAAAACAGAAUCAAUCCCUGCUUAUUCUUUACAGAACUUUAAUUCACUUACUCACCGUAGAGUGGGCAUUCAUUGACUGUACUUAUUGUAAUAACAGCUAAUGAUAUAUAUGUCUGUAGAAAGUACUUUAAACUAAAUACGGUAUUAAAGAUAUGUAAAUUAAAUGUAUUUUUCAUGUAAAAUUGACCCUUGAUGUGCUUAUUUCAUUCAUUGGUUGGUCCAUGCAUGAAAAUGCACAAAAUAUGGUUUUACAUCAAAAUUUAUUAUAACUCUUUCCUCUACAGGACAACGUUUCGUAACCGAUACCUAAUCCUUUUAUACAUGGUUUACAAAGUUUAUGUAAAUUAAAUGUAUUUAUGAUGUAAAAUGACCGAUUUCAUACAGAAGCAAAUGUUAAAGUCGAUAUUUUAUGAUAGUUACAAAGUGGCUACAAUGCGUCGUUUAUACAAUCAUAUAUAAUUAAAAGCGUAUCAAAUUCUUCAAAUUUUAACGAAAUAACACCUGUAAUUUGUUUUAUAGAUCUUUAAAUCUGAUCGUUAAGAACAACAAAGAGUCAUGUAUUCGUCAAUGAUCAGGUAUCACUAUACUAAUUAAUCUGAUACCUCUCGUAAGUAGUUUAAUAGUCAAGUAAGUUUCAAAUAAUAUCAUACAAAUUUCAUAUGUGGGUCCAUGGCCAAUUUGUGGUUCUAUAAACGAACACAUACAACUUUAUUUUCGUUGUUUCUCUUGUAAACGAUCAAAUUAUUUUUAUGAAUCACUCGGGUAUAAUGUACCAGGGUACGUAAAUCUUAAUUCUUUUGAUCGUGUUAAUCGUUUCAGUCCAAUAAGGUAGUGUCAAGUGGAGCAAUAAUUCGUAACAACUCAGAAUCUAGGUAUUUAAAAGGUAAAGCAGUUUACAUUUGUCUGGUACUACGGAGUGAGUCUGGAGAGGGAUUCUUUCAUGUGCUUUUUAAGUCAAUUAUAAAUGCACGGAAACCGAGUGCUAAAUAAAUAGAACUAGUGCAAAGUCAAACAUUAAAGUAACGAGAGUAAAAAUCAAAGGUAAAGGGAGGUUGCUUUGGUAUAAUGACGAAACACAGUAAAUAAGGUUUGAAGACAUGACAUAAUGGGUGUGUCCGGGGGUUUUCAAACAAAUUGUUUUAUGGCGAGUUACCUUGUGAUCUAUGGAACUUCAAUCUAACAAAAUGUUACUUAAUAUUCAGAAAUGUUAGUCUCUUUUUGUACAUGUGUAAUAGUUAACAAAAAACACUGGAGUCAAUAUAGCAGAAAUGUGGUUCUAAUUAUCAAGUGAAAACAGAUAAUUGAAGAAAGAAUUGACAGUGAAUUUUUGAAGAUAGAUUUAUACAAAGCUAUUUUGCUUUCUGUGCCAAGAUUUUAUGAUUUAAACAAUUUACUUGUGGGUGAAAACACUAAGCAGUAAAAUAGUUGAAAAUAACCAUUAAUGCCAAAUAAAGUGACUUUAAGUUGACUUGAAAUCAAUAUUUUACUAGAAGUAGAGUUGAUUAACACCCUGUGAACAUGGAUUUUAAAGACAGUUAUUAAGAUAUGUCAUAUUUGUCAAGGACUAUUUAUCUUUUAUAUGUCUGAAGGUUUUAACUGUUUUAUUGGCUUUUGCUCAUUGUUUUAUACAAUUUAUACCUUAAAAGAGUACUCAGAAGUGCUUCAAAGUCAUGAUGUCAUCCUGUUAUUUAUGACUGAGUGGUUGUCUUUUCUGUUUUGAUAUAAAGUGUACAUGUACACUCUGUUUUUUUAAGUAUAAGCUGUUUCAGCAUGUUCAGUUGAGUUGGAUUUUUAGUCAGCCAGAAAACUCAUCAAAGUUUCCUGGCUGAGGCUGCUUAAUUAGUCCACCAGACAGGUAUUUUGAAGACCCAUUGGUGGCCUUCGGCUGUUUUCUGUUCAUUGGUUGCGUUGUUGUCUCUUUGACACAUUCCCCAUUUACAUUCUCAAUUUCAUGUGUUGUAUGGUGAAAGCAUUUGGUGCUUAUUUUUAAGUUGAAAUAUUACAAGAUGAUUGGACAUUAAACUGUGGUCUGCACUCUGCACAUACAUUAUGUACAAUGCAGUCCUCAAAACAAUACACAAAAAAUCCCUUACAUGUAUAUUAAUUAGUCCUAGAUAAAAUUUGGCAUGACAGAUCUGAGUUUUUGGUCCACUUCAAUAGUGUAAAUAAAAGCCUUUAUAACAUAUGAAGUAAGCUUUAUGUUAAAGUGUAUUAGAUUUUUGUACUAUUCUUUUAUCAAAGACAACAAUGGUAUAGUAAAUAUUUGAUUUAUUAGAAUCUUAGAUGCCAAGCUUACUUUGAAUUAUGUUACCCUUAAAGGAAAACUCAACUUCAAAGUUUGUCAAGAAUCGGAGAGUAAAUAUUAGAUAUAUGAUUCUUAAAAUCUUUCAAGGAUUAAUAAAUUAAAAUUCAAAAAUAUAAAGAUAUCAUAGCAUAAAUUACAAUGAAAUGAAUCGUUGUGGACAGAUUUCAUGUUUACUUUCGAUAAUUAUUUCGGGCUCCAUGUUAGUUUGAGACGACAUGGUAAUUCACUUUUCAAGUGUCAAGAUUUAUGAAGAAUUUGAAUAGAUCAUGAUUUAGCAAUACUUAAUGGAAGUUUUUUCGAUUGUGUGUGUAUUGAAUGUACACGCCAAAGCAGGAACUUUCCCAUUGAUUUAUUAUGUAAGGAUUUCUUUUGUUCAAAGUUAACUUUUGGUUGUCUUUUCAUCCUGGUUCAGCUUUAACCUUGAGUUGUCUUUUUAUCCUGAAAUUGCAUAAAUAAUGGUACUGUGUAACUUUUAAGGGAUAUUUUUGUGGUUGCUAUACUUUUAUGUACAAAUUUUUAUUUUUUAUUUACGAAACGUUGGGACUCCUAAAAUAAUUAUGACAUUUAGAAAUUGACCGGAUUUCUUGAAAGGAGUAGAAAGUUUGCUAACAAGGUGUUUCUCAUGCCAGUGAUAUAUUUAUUCAUUCAUUUUCAUCUGAAAUUAAAUUUCUAAAUGUUUGUUGUUGUGUAUUUUGUUCAAACAAACUUCUUACAUAAGUGGUAUUAAAGUUAGAUAUGACACUACAUCGUGUUUCUAACUGUGUUUGUAUAGUCAUGUUUAGUCAGUUACAAGUAUAUCAAUAUAUAUAUGCUCUUGUUUCGGUAUAAAUCGGACUACGUUUCACUUGACUCUCAACAUGAACAAAAACUUCCAGUUUUUCUGUUAUAUUUCAUUACAUAUAAAGGUACUAUAGAAUCUAUUGUCACCAUUUUCAAUAUUUGUAUAACUGUCAACUUUAAUUUGAAUAUUGUAACAGUCCGGGUGAUUCAUUAAAAUUGGAAUUUUAAUAAUAAGUAUUUGUUGUUAAAGUUCAUUAAAUGGAAAUUAAAGGAAGUGUGAAAAAUGAUUAAAAUAAGUAUAACAAAAUCGUAGUUUUGAAAUGUGAAUACUAGUUUUCAUUUGGUUAUAGAGUUUUAAAACAACAUGGCAUUGAAACAACAAACAAUAAAUUUCACAGUUUGUAAUCUCUGAUUGUAAAAAUGACAAGUUUUUUGUAAAUAUUAUAUAAAAACAAACAUAUAUCUAGAGGCAUACAGAUAAUCCUAUGAAUUUUCACAGUUCUUAAUAAAGAAAUCAGCCACAGGGUGGCUUGAUAGUGGCAUUGAUGCAUGAGAGUUGGGGAACACUGGCAAGUUAAUGUUUAAUGUUUUACCUAAAAGGGCUGUUUACCUGUAAUUAACUACCUUUGAACUAUGUACAUUGAUGGACAGGUUAGGUAAUUCUUACACCUUGGUUAGUUUAAUACAACUUGUUAUUUUUUGUUUUUUAAAGUUGAUGUCAGGUUUUGCUUGAAGCCCUCUUGUUAGUUGUAAAAAUGACACAAUGUAUAAUUCUUAUUAUCUGGAUAAGAUCUUAAUGGAUUUGAAGGUGCUGUUUUAUUCUUAUUUAACACAGGAGGUUUCUGUACCUAGAUCUAAGGUGUUCAGCCAUUUGCUUCACUUCUGAAGGAGAGACAAUUACCUCUCUGUUGGAUGCUAGUUAACAUCGCUUGCUCAGUAUUGUGUAGAGUUCUGCCACAUUACAAAUCAAAGAUUAGUCAAUAUAUUUACCAGUUCACAUAUUUACAUUUCCUCAACUUUUGUAAUCUUUAUCAGAGAAAAAAUGAAUGUUAAGAAGAUAAUAAUACUACAGGCAUGACAGGGGUAUCUGAAAAUAUUAUAUAUUUAUUGAUCAAUUAUUGUUUGCUUAAAGUCCAGUGGCAAAUAUUUCAUUCAUUAUCAUGCUAAACCAUAAGUUGAAGAAUUGUAGACGACAUAUUUGCAAAUAAAGAAAAUUUAAAAAAGGGGGGGGGGGGGGGGGGGGAUGUGAUUAUACACUUAGCUGUUUUAUCACAAAUUAAUUUUAACCGAUUCAUUUUCUUAAUAUUUGUUGUUGCCAUGUUUCUUUCAGCUUUAGUUUGUAUUGAUCAUUUCCCUUGGAAGGACAAAGCUUUAUUGUUGCAGGCAGUUGGUUAAAAUAAUUAUGUCAUGCCCAUCUUGUCUCCCUCUAACAAAUAUCUCACAUAAUUUCAGACUUAAACAUCCCAGACAGAAAGUCCAUCUUACACAUUAAGACAAAUUGAUCUGGCAGAUUUUAUAGAUAUAAUAGUAAAGAAGUGCCAGAAAAAAAUAUUGCUGAAUUUUUGUGUGAUAAAUGCUGAUGGUAUUAUAGUGUGAUAAAUACAGACAUGUUAUACGUUAAUCGUUAAUCGGUCAAGGCCUCAAUACCACUUAAUCUAUAAAACCAUUUUCUUAAUUCUUUUUUUUAGUAUAAAAGUUUGUGUUGGGAGUUAUUUAAAAAUCAAUAUCUGCAGAAAGCAAGCUUAUAUGUUGUGAUGUUUGAACUCAUAUUUUGAUCAGCCACUCUAGUUUUCUAACCAGUUUUGAAAAUUUGCUGAUCACUCUAAAAUUCAAUUCUAAUUUCAAUUAAUCUUCAAAGAAAGUUUCACAUAAAAGGGUAGAAAAUGAAUUACCCACUGUUAAGUCAUUUUCUAUUGACAAACUCAAAUAUCUUAUUUCUUUAAUUUUUGUAAGGUAAACAUACAAUACAAAUCCCCGCCCCCCUGUGGGGAGCUUGGGCACAGGAUAUAUACUAAAUGAUCUUUACUAUUUAAUAGCUAAUGUUAUGCAUCAACAGAAUCAGUCGUUGGUUAUUGAGGUCGAAAUCAUUAAAGAUAUACCCCUUUAUGAAUGAGAACAGUUUUUUCUAUAACAUUAGUUUAUAACAAAGGCAGAGUACUUUAUAGAAAUGGUAUAGGUUAUUGUGUGUUAUAAUUGGAUUUAGUUUUCACAAGUACCUUAUCCUAGGGGAUUACGUGUGCCGAAGUAUUUAAAAUCAGGAGACUCAAAGUAUUAAGUUUAUUGUACGACAACCUGUUCCAAAGUAAAGCUUAAAAUUAAUAAAAGAGUUCAAGUUGAAUUGAAGUUAGGAGAAAACAAAACAUUCAUAUUUCUAUAAAAAAAAAAUCAAUGUAAUUUUAAAUACAAGUGUACAUGUUAUGUUCAGGGUUUUUAACAUCACAAUCAAUCUUGAUAUGGAUCAUUUAAUGUAUUGAUAGACAUAUAAAUUUAUUUGUGUUAAAAUCUAAAUUUGAAAUUCAUAAGGUUAUAAAUUUAUUUGUGCUCAAAUCUAAAUUUGAAAUUCAUAAGGUUUGACUGUUUUCACAAAAGAUGCAACAGACCACCAAACACUUAUUUUAUGUUGAAUAAAAGGUCUAUAAAUCCAGGGCUGUAAUAAUGAGGCUAAUUUUAUAGGCCAUUAUGAAAUUCAUAUUUUCUCAGAGAUAGUCAUCGGAAAUGGUGAGAGUCAAGUAUUAUGAUAUAUCAGACAAAAUUCAUAACUUUGUAACAUACGAUGAUUAUCAUAUUUUGUUGAAUGCACCUCAAGGGCUCUAACUGCACAUAAAAGAUAGUAUCAUUAUUAUAUCACAGAUCAACUGAUAGGUGUUAUUUUAAUCAACGUAGUGAAAGCUUCGCUGAUUUUCAUAGCGAGUAAUGAAAACUGAACAUUUCACACUACAGAUUUUGUAAUUUCUUAAAUGAUUUUUGUACAUCAAAGCUAUGCUUCUAAACUGUUAAUAACUUAACAGUCAAAGGUGAAGUAAAAAGAUGGUGAAGCUUUUAUACUUAUCUUUGCUGUGAUGCUUGAAGCGUAUUAUGAAAUAUGACACAAAAAGAUGUAGGUUGCUUAAGACAGGAAAGGUAAAAUGUUAAUUUUUGUUCAGUACACGAUUGCCUACUUUUCAACCUGAGUGUGAAAAAAUGAGAAAUGACAAGGUGUUGAAAUAGAAUAGUUUUUUUUUAACACUGACUGCAGUCUAUACCUUAAUGUAAAUUGAUUGCCCUGGAGAAAGUUAGAAAGAAAUGCACUGAAUCCUAGUCAUUGAUAGUAAUCUGUGAAUCAUUUAAGUGGCGACAUCAUAAUUUUCAUAUAAUUCCUGCAUAAAAAGAUGAGUGCUCUAUAAACGGUUUUAUAGGAUGCUCAAGUAAAUUGUAUUUUGUGAAGAUCUGAUAAAAGUUGUAUAUCAUUGUGAAAACUAGACGAUAUCAAACAGGAUGUAAAGGGUAAAUACUAUCGGUAAAAUACAACCACAAAGUUCACUGGAUUUUUAGGGAUUUAUCCGAUUUAAUUGUGGGAUCGGUAGAAUGGAGGGAGGAAAUGUAAGGUACAAAGUAUGGUGUCAUGAUAUGCUUGUGGCUUUUAUGACCAAUCUUUCAACUUCUUCUAUAUACUUGGAGGAAAAUUACGGAAAUUUUAAAGUUUAAUGUUGACUUGAUGUCUUAAUUCAUGAACAGUGAAAUUCAUGUUAUUUUGUGAAGUGAUAGGCAAAUAAUAAUGACGAGGAAUAGCAUGAAAGUAUCCUAAAAACAUAAUAAUUGACGUCCCUCCAUCCUGCCAAAAUGUUAUCCCCUCCCCUCUUAAAAAGAAAUAUUUCAAUGAAUCUUCUGUUUGUAAACUUAUAAUAAAGACGAAUAUUAUUACUUUGUAGACCUGACAAGAUGUAAUCUUAAAGUUCUUGCUGUAUUCUGACAGAAGACAUUAUAUUCAAUCAUUGUUUUAUUUGCAGGAUAUGAGAUAAAGGACUAAUCAGAAGCUGAUGGGUGUGGGGUAUAGAUCAGAAUGAGGGGCUGUCAGUUUGUUGUACAAACCAUUGUCAGUUGGACUAUAGUCUGUUUUGGUAAGUUUAACACAUUUAUUAU